GCCCAGGUGCAGUGGCACAUGCCUGUAGUCACAGCUAAUUGGGAGGCUGAGGUGGGAGGAUGGCUUGAGCCUGGGAGCUCUGGGCUCUAGUGCCCUAUGCCAAUUGGGUGUCCACACUAAGUUUAAUAUCAAUAUGACGACCUCUCAGGAGCAGGGGAUGGCUGAGUUGUCUAAGGAGGGGUGAACUGACCCAAGUUGAAAAUGGAGCAGGUCAAAACUCCCACACUGAUUAGUAGCGGGAUUGUGCCUAUGAAUAGUCAUGACACUCCAGUCUGGGCAACCUAGUGAGACCCCGUUUCUU
This is an unclassified non-coding RNA of Macaca fascicularis (crab-eating macaque), 301 nucleotides long. It matches the Rfam family "Metazoan signal recognition particle RNA". Rfam says of the family: The signal recognition particle (SRP) is a universally conserved ribonucleoprotein. Lineage: Eukaryota; Metazoa; Chordata; Mammalia; Primates; Cercopithecidae. The record is from Ensembl.